The sequence is a ribosomal RNA, 437 nucleotides long. It matches the Rfam family "Bacterial small subunit ribosomal RNA", at positions 341 to 792 of the family's 1533-position model.
ACGGAAGGCAGCAGUGGGGAAUAUUGGGCAAUGGGGGAAACCCUGACCCAGCAACGCCGCGUGAAGGAAGAAGGCUUUCGGGUUGUAAACUUCUUUUACCAGGGACGAAGGACGUGACGGUACCUGGAGGAAAAGCAACGGCUAACUACGUGCCAGCAGCCGCGGUAAUACGUAGGUUGCAAGCGUUGUCCGGAUUUACUGGGUGUAAAGGGCGUGUAGGCGGAGAGGCAAGUCAGAUGUGAAAUCCCGGGGCUCAACCCCGGAACUGCAUUUGAAACUGUCUCCCUUGAGUAUCGGAGAGGCAAGCGGAAUUCCUAGUGUAGCGGUGAAAUGCGUAGACAUUAGGAGGAACACCAGUGGCGAAGGCGGCUUGCUGGACGACAACUGACGCUGAGGCGCGAAAGCGUGGGGAGCAAACAGGAUUAGAUACCCUGGUA